UAUAGGGCAAAACCGGAGAAAUCCGGCGACGCAAAACUAUAGGGACUAACUCCGUUUGGAAAUGUCAGCCAGUUACCGC
This 79-nucleotide non-coding RNA is filed under the name uncultured Enterocloster sp. RNAcentral's name for it is "Cyclic di-GMP-I riboswitch". It matches the Rfam family "c-di-GMP-I riboswitch aptamer". Rfam says of the family: GEMM was predicted in a large-scale screen for bacterial structured RNA regulatory elements. Genes associated with GEMM are involved in a diverse array of functions, including chemotaxis regulation, signal transduction, secretion and chitin. Lineage: Bacteria; Bacillati; Bacillota; Clostridia; Lachnospirales; Lachnospiraceae. The record is from RNAcentral.